GUGUCCUACGGGGGGCAGCAGUGGGGAAUAUUGGGCAAUGGGCGCAAGCCUGACCCAGCAACGCCGCGUGAAGGAAGAAGGCCUUCGGGUUGUAAACUUCUUUUCUUGGGGACGAAGAAAGUGACGGUACCCAAGGAAUAAGCCACGGCUAACUACGUGCCAGCAGCCGCGGUAAUACGUAGGUGGCAAGCGUUAUCCGGAUUUAUUGGGUGUAAAGGGCGUGUAGGCGGGAUUGCAAGUCAGAUGUGAAGACCACGGGCUCAACCUGUGGCCUGCAUUUGAAACUGUAGUUCUUGAGGUCUGGG
RNAcentral lists this ribosomal RNA (305 nucleotides) under uncultured bacterium. RNAcentral describes it as "bacterial SSU rRNA". It matches the Rfam family "Bacterial small subunit ribosomal RNA", at positions 334 to 653 of the family's 1533-position model. The record is from RNAcentral.